This 497-nucleotide ribosomal RNA is filed under the name uncultured bacterium. Its description in RNAcentral is "partial 16S ribosomal RNA". It matches the Rfam family "Bacterial small subunit ribosomal RNA", at positions 28 to 507 of the family's 1533-position model. The record is from RNAcentral.
GAUGAACGCUGGCGGCGUGCCUAAUACAUGCAAGUCGAGCGAACGGACGAGAAGCUUGCUUCUCUGAUGUUAGCGGCGGACGGGUGAGUAACACGUGGUUAACCUACCUAUAAGACUGGGAUAACUUCGGGAAACCGUAGCUAAUACCGGAUAAUAUUUUGAACCGCAUGGUUCAAAAGUGAAAGACGGUCUUGCUGUCACUUAUAGAUGGAUCCGCGCUGCAUUAGCUAGUUGGUAAGGUAACGGCUUACCAAGGCAACGAUGCAUAGCCGACCUGAGAGGGUGAUCGGCCACACUGGAACUGAGACACGGUCCAGACUCCUACGGGAGGCAGCAGUAGGGAAUCUUCCGCAAUGGGCGAAAGCCUGACGGAGCAACGCCUCGUGAGUGAUGAAGGUCUUCGGAUCGUAAAACUCUGUUAUUAGGGAAGAACAUAUGUGUAAGUAACUGUGCACAUCUUGACGGUACCUAAUCAGAAAGCCACGGCUAACUACGUG